UUUAAAAAAAAAGAAGUAUUAAUCACUAGUUAGAGGGAACCCUAUAGAUCUAUUUUCAUACCUAGCUUCAGGAUCUUUACGUGGAUCAUACCCUAUACGCACCCAUGCGUUUCUCCAAGGACCAGUGGUGAAGUAGUAAGCGACGGAUGCCAAAAUAAAACGAAGGGAGUUUUUAUCGACGCCUGCCACAUGUGCAAAAAGAUAUGUACCCUUUUUAUUAAGGCCAGGUCAUCUGGCAUAAUGAAACGGACGGUGAGGUUACAAAGUGCCAUAUCGCGAGGCUUUGUUGGUGCGGGCCCUCCACUGUAAUCGAGAAAGAUUGUUUGCAUAGCCCGCUUUUUUCUAAGUCGACCAAUUACGUUGCCAUCAUACUGCAUUCCUAAGGCAUUCACAGUAUCUUUCCUGAAGUGAGAAAUAUCACUUCAUAUCAAAGAAUUAUACUUACAACUGGCAAGUCCAUCCGAGAGAAUACUGGAGGAGACAUGAACACUGGGGCAGCUUCUUGCAACCAUUCCAGACUUUCUAACUUUUGAGGAGCAACCAGC
Molecule: long non-coding RNA, 545 nt
Filed under: Daphnia pulicaria
Lineage: Eukaryota; Metazoa; Arthropoda; Branchiopoda; Diplostraca; Daphniidae
Description: uncharacterized LOC124340437, transcript variant X2
Source: RNAcentral